This 71-nucleotide transfer RNA is filed under the name Callithrix jacchus (white-tufted-ear marmoset). RNAcentral's name for it is "tRNA-Gly (GCC) (tRNA-Gly-GCC-4-1)". It matches the Rfam family "tRNA". From Rfam's summary of the family: Transfer RNA (tRNA) molecules are approximately 80 nucleotides in length. Lineage: Eukaryota; Metazoa; Chordata; Mammalia; Primates; Cebidae. The record is from Rfam by way of RNAcentral.
GCAUGGGUGGUUCAGUGGUAGAAUUCUCGCCUGCCACGCGGGAGUCCUGGGUUCAAUCCCCGGCCCACGCA